This is a long non-coding RNA of Herpailurus yagouaroundi (jaguarundi), 664 nucleotides long. RefSeq lists it as uncharacterized. Lineage: Eukaryota; Metazoa; Chordata; Mammalia; Carnivora; Felidae. The transcript is spliced from 6 exons. The record is from RefSeq and is a predicted model, not a curated record.
CAGGAUCUGGUAGAAGAUGUGGUAGUUUCUCUCAGCCUUCAGCUGGAAGAUCACCCGAGACUUCUCCAGGAGAUCUGAAGUGCGAGAUGGGGGGAAGGCAGGAAAACAGAGAAAAGGAUGCCUAUUCCCCUAUUACCAAAUAUCUCUGAGCAGAAACAACAACAUGGGAAUGAAGUCUUCCCUGCACCGGAUUCUCCACUGGAGGCAACAGGGACCCAUCAGAACCCAAGAUCCCCUCUGUGCUCCAUUCAGAGUUCAGCACUGCACCCUCCUCCCUCAGAAUCCCGGUCAUCUAACCUCCUCCACUGGGGUCUUGCAGAGUUUGCAUAUCAUUGAAUCAGCCUGGAUCCUCCCCAAGUCCCUGUGUGGGUAGAUGGCAUUUGCUCACGUGAUGAGGAUGGACUGGUUCUCCCUAUCUGGAAGAGGAAAGAAGAGAGGCAACAGAGUCAGGACCCCUCUGAGGCCAAAACCAGUGGAGGUCCCCCCAUCCCCGCCCCAGCAUCCUCUCUGGCAAAGGAUGUGCAUCCCUGGGAUGGUGCCCUGUUACAUCUGCUCAGGUCCAUCUGAGAAAGCAGUGACCUUGCCCCCUUCCCGGGACAGGAUCUUGGCCUUCACAAACUCCUCCUUGUCGUCGGGCACAAAGCACUCAGUGCGGAUAUCGAAG